This 328-nucleotide long non-coding RNA is filed under the name Zonotrichia albicollis (white-throated sparrow). RNAcentral's name for it is "lncRNA (ENSZALG00000012018.1)". Lineage: Eukaryota; Metazoa; Chordata; Aves; Passeriformes; Passerellidae. The record is from RNAcentral.
UUCAGCUGGGAAUGAAGCCUCCUGCCCAUUUGUUUACCACAGAGGGAGCCCAGGAGAAGGACAAAGUGCUGGAGUGAAGGAGGUGGUACAGAAAUCACUGCAGGCACCUGCUGUUUCUGGAAGUUUCUGUUUUGAGGUUCAGUGCCUCCUGCAGCUUUUGCAGAGUCCCAGAUCCACAAUCUGGUUUAUCAAAGGUCACUAGUCCACGUCCCUCUCCCAUGGAAAAUCAGGAGUUUGAGAAGCAGAGUCAAGUGGUUUGUGCAAGUUGUCUAGAAAAAGGACAAAGUCUCCUGGUUGAGAAUUUGUGACAUGAAGGUCUGAGUAAGAG